ACUCCUACGGGAGGCAGCAGUGAGGAAUUUUGGUCAAUGGACGCAAGUCUGAACCAGCCAUGUCGCGUGAAGGAGGACGGCCCUAAGGGUUGUAAACUUCUUUUGCAGUGGAAUAAAGUUUGCCACGUGUUGGCGAUUUGCAAGUACGCUGCGAAUAAGGAUCGGCUAACUCCGUGCCAGCAGCCGCGGUAAUACGGAGGAUCCAGGCGUUAUCCGGAUUUAUUGGGUUUAAAGGGUGCGCAGGCGGGGAAUUAGGUCGGCGGUGAAACUUCGGGGCUCAACCUCGACAGUGCCGUUGAAACCGUUUCUCUUGAGUGCGGAUGAGGUAGGCGGAAUUUGUGGUGUAGCGGUGAAAUGCGUAGAUAUCACAAGGAACACCGAUUGCGGAGGCAGCUUACUAAACCGUUACUGACGCUCAUGCACGAAGGCGUGGGGAUCAAACA
RNAcentral lists this ribosomal RNA (443 nucleotides) under uncultured bacterium. RNAcentral describes it as "bacterial SSU rRNA". It matches the Rfam family "Bacterial small subunit ribosomal RNA", at positions 335 to 774 of the family's 1533-position model. The record is from RNAcentral.